RNAcentral lists this ribosomal RNA (506 nucleotides) under uncultured bacterium. RNAcentral's name for it is "partial 16S ribosomal RNA". It matches the Rfam family "Bacterial small subunit ribosomal RNA", at positions 29 to 523 of the family's 1533-position model. The record is from RNAcentral.
AACGAACACUGGCGGCAGGCCUAACACAUGCAAGUCGAACGGCAGCACAGAGGAGCUUGCUCCUUGGGUGGCGAGUGGCGGACGGGUGAGGAAUACAUCGGAAUCUGCCUUAUCGUGGGGGAUAACGUAGGGAAACUUACGCUAAUACCGCAUACGACCUACGGGUGAAAGCGGGGGAUCGCAAGACCUCGCGCGAGAAGAUUAGCCGAUGUCGGAUUAGCUCGUUGGCGGGGUAAAGGCCCACCAAGGCGACGAUCCGUAGCUGGUCUGAGAGGAUGAUCAGCCACACUGGAACUGAGACACGGUCCAGACUCCUACGGGAGGCAGCAGUGGGGAAUAUUGGACAAUGGGCGCAAGCCUGAUCCAGCCAUGCCGCGUGGGUGAAGAAGGCCUUCGGGUUGUAAAGCCCUUUUGUCCGGAAAGAAAAGCACUGGAUUAAUACUUCGGUGUUCUGACGGUACCGGAAGAAUAAGCACCGGCUAACUUCGUGCCAGCAGCCGCCGCAG